Molecule: RNA transcript, 1654 nt
Organism: Carya illinoinensis
Lineage: Eukaryota; Viridiplantae; Streptophyta; Magnoliopsida; Fagales; Juglandaceae
Gene name: 50S ribosomal protein L22, chloroplastic-like
Exons: 8
Source: RefSeq, a predicted model, not a curated record
CUUCAACAAAGAGGAACAAAUUUUGUAAAGAAAUUGAUGGUUGAACUGAUGAAAAUAUCGAUUAAAUUUUUUAUUUUAUUUUUCAUUUUUAUUUGAAGAAGUGAAUAUUAAUAAAUUAAUAUUUUUUAUUUUUAAAAAAUAUUUAAAAUUAUAUAAAAAAAUGAUUCAAAUAAAAGAUGAAAAAUAAUAAAAAAUGCACUCGUCGGUUGGCUUCAUCGGUAUGUUUAUCGUUUCCCCUAGCACCGUCCAAUUCGUAAUUCAUCCGUUUACUUCUACCCCUAGUUCUAAAAUCCUCUCUUCGCAUUGUCUCCACUCUCUUCACUCUGACGAUCGACGCCGACGCCAUCUCCAUACCGUCGCUGAUCGAGCCUCAUGUUGCUCCACGCCUUCGCAGCUCCUGUUGCUCCGUCGCAGCUCGUGCCCCUCCGUCGCAGGUAGACGUCCACCUCCACACUCCGCCCACUGUACGCCGCAGGUAAUUUGAGGUCAUGGUGGGCUGGCAAAGACAAGUACAAUUUGUACUUCGUCGCUUUGGGAAAAGAGUAGAAUAUAAUUACAAUGCAUUUGCCAGCUUUUCUUCGGUUCGCUUGGAAUCCUCCACUUUUACAAGUGAGUUACCUUAUUUGCAGAGACUAUGGAGACCAACUUCUGCAAACAUUUCAAGGCCUUUGUAUCAAUAUUUUCAACAAUUGGGAAUUUCUAGUUCUAGGAAGUUACUAGCAGAUUUGUCUGAAGAAUCGGCCAUCCCAUCUCCAUUGACUCCUGUGUUGGCAUUAAACAGUGGAAAAAGUGAUGGCCAGAACCAGAAAGCAGUCUCGAAACCUUCCAAGGUUCAAGCUGUCUUAAAGGGCAUUAAACAGAGUCCAAAGAAGGUCAACUUGGUUGCUGCUUUAGUUCGUGGCAUGCGAGUUGAAGAUGCAUUGUUGCAGUUACAAGUGACAGUAAAGCGAGCUGCAAAGACUGUAUAUCAGGUUAUUCACUCAGCCCGAGCAAACGCAACACAUAACUAUGGGCUGGAUCCCGAUCGUCUCCUAGUUGCUGAGUCAUUUGUUGGGAAAGGAUUAUUUAAAAAGAGAGUUUCCUACCAUGCUAAAGGAAAAUGUGGAAUCAAAGUGAGACCUGAGUGCCGACUGACAGUAGUAGUAAGGGAGAUGACCGCUGAAGAGGAGGCUGAGAUAGCCAGACUCAGGGUCCACAAUUUCCGCAAGCUCACUAAGCGAGAAAGGCGACUUGUACCUCAUAAGCUUAUUGAGACGACUCCAAUCUGGAAUCGCAAGGGCAAAGCUCGUGAACCGAGAGGCAUGGCUGCAUGAGCCAGCUUCCCUCCCAUGUUUCAGAAUCUUACAGAGAGUUUUGUAGAAGUGCGGAGAGAUCUCUUCCAAUGCCUGCAUUCCAGUAGAAAUCAUCUUGUAGAAAUGGAGCAACCUUGUUUCAAUCUCAAAGCGGUGCAUGCAAAUGCAACUCUUGCUGCUUUAAACAACUAAUCGGAUGCGGAUAGACCAGUUGAUGGAGUCCAUCGAGCUUGGCCAAAAUUACAACUGCCUUUCACUUGAAGACCAUGAUAGCUUUCAGUGAAUGGAAUUAAUGGUGCAUCUGCUUGAAUUGUAUACGGUUGUUAAUUAAAAAAAUUGCAUAAAUCUUUCCUAUUUACUCA